UACGUAGGGUGCGAGCGUUAAUCGGAAUUACUGGGCGUAAAGCGUGCGCAGGCGGUUUUGUAAGCCAGGUGUGAAAGCCCCGGGCUCAACCUGGGAAUGGCAUUUGGGACUGCAAGGCUGGAGUUUGGCAGAGGAGACUGGAAUUCCUGGUGUAGCAGUGAAAUGCGUAGAUAUCAGGAGGAAUACCGAUGGCGAAGGCAGGUCUCUGGGCUAUAACUGACGCUCAUGCACGAAAGCGUGGGGAGCAAACAGG
This 253-nucleotide ribosomal RNA is filed under the name uncultured bacterium. RNAcentral describes it as "partial 16S ribosomal RNA". It matches the Rfam family "Bacterial small subunit ribosomal RNA", at positions 524 to 776 of the family's 1533-position model. The record is from RNAcentral.